ACACAUUUAUUUCUUAUUAACUCACUGAAAUAGUCUGAAUAUUCAAUUUGUCACAAAUCUCAUACGCACAAUGCGUGGGCGCAUAUUUCACAGCUCGUAGUAAUUCAAUCUAUUUUCGUUCACGGAUUUUAUUUUUACAAAUUCCCAAAGUAUCUGAUUGGAACACUUAUAUCGCUGUAUCUACACGGCAAGCACACUGGGUUAAAGCAGUAAUGACGCAGUUUUGAAAAGUUUUUGGCACGCAGAUUGUUCGAGGCUUGCUCAUAAAUCAUCGCCGUCCGCGUUGGUUUGUCACACAACUCACACGGCUAAAUUUAAUUCUUCUAACGUUUACAACAAUGAUUUCGAGAAGGUUUCACGCAAAACACCAUAAAUUCGAAAAGAUUAAACGCGGGAUUAAAAUACCACCGAAUGAAAUUGAUGUUUUGUUGUUUUUUUCUAGUUAAUUUUAUCACUGCGGUUGGCUUAUAAUUGUUAUUGUUUUGCCAAAUUGUUUACGCUCCGUUUGCUUUGAUCAUUACAAUACUAAUUAGAAUUAAUAAUCCGUAAUUUAAGCGUUUCGUUGGCGUAGUUUCUAGAUUUUCAUGAAAUGCCUCCUGACUGGCAGGCGCAGUUGUUACCCGCACGAGAGGAUAACAAAGCUGCGCCAGAAAUAAGCUUUGCACACAUUACUUCACAUUUGCAGCGAUUUUGCAUAGCGCACCAUCAAGGUUGUAGUAAAGCAUACGCAAAACACGAAAAAAACAAAAACUGAAUUCUAACUUAAAACUGUUAGAAAGUCUACGACAAUGAAGUGAAACUAUACACGAUGAUAAGUGGAUGAGAAUAUUAUACCUGUGUUCGUAUUGAAAACGAGCGUGUGCGUUCGGACGCCGCUUUUCACAGAUCGCUGCGAGAAACUAAAAGCGACGCCGACGACGCGCGGCUCGUGGAGCGGCGGCGAGCGCCCCGAACCCGCCGACUACGCUGAUGAGCAUCAGCAUUUUUUUCGAUCUCGCGAUGUUGUUUUUUGCUGAUGCAUUAUUCAUUGCACACGGUUUGCAGCCAGAAACUUGUCAGUGUACAAUCAUACCGAAAACAACAUAAUGUAAUUACGAACGCAGAAUGCAGAAAUACGUUGGUGUAUUGAGUUGUAAUUUGCACUUCAGGAACUUCGGGCUAAUUUUAAGCCACGUGCAAAAGUUGCGCGCGGAGACGCACUCGAAAGCGUGCUUAAAAUUAGUGCGUCGGUUAAGUCUUUUUCUCGAAUGCUUGAAAUUGCUUAGAUAUAGCUUUGAGAUUGCGUCGACGUAUCUAGUUAUAUAUCUGCUAGGAACUGUGACUUGCGUAGCUUUGAUAUGUUCACGGAGUCGAUAAAUGUGUGCGAACUACGUGGAAAUGUCUGCGACAUGAUUUAACGUAGAUUUAAAUAUUUAUAUUUAGUUUUACGAGGCAUUUGUAUAGGAGAAAAAUUGUACCAUGUGCAGAUUAACAAUAUUAUCAUUAUUUUCCGCAACCAACAUUACACAAUUAUAAAUUUUACUGAAAUUUGUCUGCAACCAAUAUUACACAUAAUUUUUUACAAGAUUUUCUUUUUCACUUUAUGAAUUUUUCAAAUAUUUGUUUGAAUUUUAUAUUUUUUAGCACCCAGUAUAAUUUUCUCAUAUUUAACCAGUCGCUUCAAUAGAUUAAAACAAUAAAUCCAUUCUCAUCGCAACACUUGCGCUGCUCAGCCACGUAAGAAGUUAAAAAUAAUAAGUUUAUUUUGCUUCACCUGAAAAACUAAAAACCUGGUUAUUUUUGACGUUUAACAGCAUCUAUCAGCCACGUAUCGCAUACUCUUAUCGGCAUCGGGAAUGUUACAAGUUAAAAAUAUGAUAAAAAUAGGUCAGUGUGUUAUAUUUACAAAUUUCCUCAUUAAUUUUUGACUAAUAUAACAUUACUGAUCCUCCUAAAAUUUGCUUUGCGACAAAAUCGUUGUAUUAAUCACUCGUGGCUUUUACUUCAAAAUUUUAAUGUAAAUUAAUGUUUUUGAGCGUUUAGAAUGCUUAAAACAACACAGGUGUACAUACAACACGCGGCAAUAAGUUUUUAAUACCUUCUCGUUCGUUUAUAUUUAGCUAGUGUUUUUGUUUGUGGUUUCAAAGCUAAAAAUAAAUAAGAUUCAAUGUGAAGUUUAACUGGCUACGUGUGCGAUCUAGCGGUGAGUUUUUAAAACUUUGAAGAUAAACACAAUUCCUGUAAGAAUAUGUUUUCUUCGUAAAUUCUUAAAGAUUAAUUGUUUGGACUUAUUUUACUCACAUCAAACAUCAAAUAAUGAUAAACGAUUACAUAAAAUAAUAAAAUACUAAAUCUUUGAUCUAUUUACACUUGUUUAGAUUUGUUUAGAGUUGCUUGUUGAGUAGGUUGUUAUACUCAUGUUUUACUCGUGUGUAGAACACUUUGGGUUGCCUAUAUCAAGACAAUAUACUGGAUUUAAUUACAAGAACUUCUUCGAGACGGCGUUUGCCUUAAAACAACAGAACUAACAUAGAAAUUCUUCUGAACAAAAUUCUCUUAGAAUCCAAAGUAAAAUAUGAUGUACUGUUUUAAAAAUAAAAUAAAACUGGUAUUGAUAUUACCGGUUAUCUGUUGAGAGGUUAUGUCAUUAAAGCUACUUAUUAUUUAAGUAUUCAUAUAAAUGACUUUAAAAAAUACUUUUCCAGUAAUAUGUGACUGAAUUUUAACACUGCACAAGUUGGAAUUUACUAUGUAUGUUAAAAUAAAUACGUUUUCCUCUG
Molecule: long non-coding RNA, 2759 nt
Organism: Dalotia coriaria
Lineage: Eukaryota; Metazoa; Arthropoda; Insecta; Coleoptera; Staphylinidae
Exons: 2
Source: RefSeq, a predicted model, not a curated record